RNAcentral lists this unclassified non-coding RNA (350 nucleotides) under soil metagenome. RNAcentral's name for it is "partial contains 5.8S ribosomal RNA, internal transcribed spacer 2, and large subunit ribosomal RNA". The stretch from base 2 to 120 matches the Rfam family "5.8S ribosomal RNA", at positions 36 to 154 of the family's 154-position model. The record is from RNAcentral.
UAUGAAGAACGUAGCGAAAUGCGAUAAGUAAUGUGAAUUGCAGAAUUCAGUGAAUCAUCGAAUCUUUGAACGCACAUUGCGCCCGCCAGUAUUCUGGCGGGCAUGCCUGUUCGAGCGUCAUUUCAACCCUCAAGCCCAGCUUGGUGUUGGGGAUCGGCACAGGCGCCCUCGGGCGCCCGCCGUCCCCUAAAUCUAGUGGCGGUCCCGCUGCAGCCUCCUCUGCGUAGUAGUUUUCUCCUCGCAAGGGCAGCUCGGUGGCGACCUCGCCGUAAAACCCCCAACUUCUGAAAGGUUGACCUCGAAUCAGGUAGGAAUACCCGCUGAACUUAAGCAUAUCAAUAAGCGGAGGA